UACGAAGGGUGCAAACGUUGCUCGGAAUUAUUGGGCGUAAAGCGCACGUAGGCGGCUUAGCAAGUCGGAUGUGAAAUCCCUCGGCUCAACCAAGGAAGUGCAUCCGAAACUGCUGAGCUUGAGUACGAAAGAGGAUCGCGGAAUUCCCGGUGUAGAGGUGAAAUUCGUAGAUAUCGGAAGGAACAUCAGUGGCGAAAGCGGCUUCCUGGACCAGCACCGACGUUCAGGCACGAAAGCGUGGGGAGCAAACAGG
This 253-nucleotide ribosomal RNA is filed under the name uncultured bacterium. RNAcentral's name for it is "partial 16S ribosomal RNA". It matches the Rfam family "Bacterial small subunit ribosomal RNA", at positions 524 to 776 of the family's 1533-position model. The record is from RNAcentral.